RNAcentral lists this ribosomal RNA (508 nucleotides) under uncultured bacterium. RNAcentral describes it as "partial 16S ribosomal RNA". It matches the Rfam family "Bacterial small subunit ribosomal RNA", at positions 28 to 507 of the family's 1533-position model. The record is from RNAcentral.
GACGAACGCUGGCGGCGUGCUUAACACAUGCAAGUCGAACGGGAUAAUUUGAGAGCUUGCUCUUAGAGAAUCUAGUGGCAAACGGGUGAGUAACACGUAGACAACCUGCCGACAGGAUGGGGACAACAUUCCGAAAGGAAUGCUAAUACCGAAUGAAGCGGAGGAGAGGCAUCUCUCCUCCGUGAAAGAUGGCCUCUGAAUAUGCUAUCACCUGUCGAUGGGUCUGCGUCUGAUUAGCUAGUUGGUGAGGUAACGGCUCACCAAGGCGACGAUCAGUAGCCGGUCUGAGAGGAUGAACGGCCACAUUGGGACUGAGACACGGCCCAGACUCCUACGGGAGGCAGCAGUGGGGAAUCUUCCGCAAUGGGCGCAAGCCUGACGGAGCAACGCCGCGUGAGUGAAGAAGGUCUUCGGGUCGUAAAGCUCUGUUGACGGGGACGAACGUGCGAAGGGUGAAUAGUCCUUUGUAAUGACGGUACCUGUCGAGGAAGCCACGGCUAACUACGUA